GAUUGGGUCGAAUGUGUAACCAGAACGUGUGCAGCGAACUUUUCGAACAAGUUUUAGUGUUUAUAAAAUAUUAAAACUGUUGUAGGCUGGUUAGGUGCAUGUUUUGUUACAGGAUGAGCUGGUGUGGUUUAUGCAGCUGUCAGUUCUGACGGUCCUCGUUGCAUCACUGAGGUUGCAGAGCCCUUCUCCUCUAUUCUGGACGGUGAUACAGUGGAGCGUGGGUAGGUAUAAAAACCGUGAUUGCAUAGUGAGAGCUGGUUGGAUUUGAUGCGACAACGAUAGCGUUUGCGCUCUGAAUAUAAAUUCAAAGCGCCCAAUAAUGGCACCGGUGAAAGUAGCUAGGACUUCGUACUCGCCAUAGUUUGAUUGAUAUUAGGGCCCGAAUGGAACGAAGAUGAAACGUCUAUGAAAGAUAAUGCCGGGUUGAUUUCGGGCUAUUCUUUUAAUGAGGGAAUUGCAGUAAGAAACGUCACAUUUUCCCGCAUGUUUGCAAGAAUCUAGGCUUUCCUUGUAAUUUGUAAUAGCAGUCUGUGCAGGACGACGAGACCUUUUGCAUAGAGUGGAUCAUGUGUUCAACGAUAUGUCUUCGUACGUGAGUAGUGAAAUCGUGUAGUUCUAUAUCAUAUUGUAAUACUAUAGAGUGUAAUUUGUACUAAUCUGAACUGUCUCACAUUGCAAUUAGAUUCAUUGAAGACUAAGCAUGCUAAACGUACCUUUACCCUCGCUGCAAAUCGCACAUUUCGUGUCUCGUUUCAUGCAAUCAAACAAACGCCAAUGAAUGCACGACGGACUAACUAGGCAACCUCCGACCCAGCCAUCGACCGACACGAGUUGGGCUGAUUGUCGUCGAUUUAAUCACAAUUGGUUUUGGAACAAAACAAACGUGAUAACUUUAUUGUUUUCCCAGCAACAAUAUAAUUGCUGGUACAUAACUGACAUCUCGUCGCUGAAGCAUCUGGUCAUCUGGCGAGUUCUUACGCAGGAUGAACAUAUUAUUCACUGGUGUAGCUAUCUGGAAAUACUUCUCAUAAUCAAAAGAAAGAUUUCAACAUGAGGUCAAUCUGUCAGACAUGAUGAUGAGAUGAGAGAUCUUCUUGUAUCAUACCUGAAAUUCAUGGGGAAACAGGAAAAUGUUCUAUAUUUCAAAAUUCUUGUGCAUGGCCACAGACAAGGAACAAGUUUAAAAAGGUAGGGAGAGAAAUAUUAAGCAACUAAAAUCAGACAUGUUCAAUCUGAAAACACUCAACACUUCAAUCAAAUUACGAUGUCAAUUUCGCAGUUGAACGGUAUUAACUUUUGACGUACAACGGUAAGAUCCAAGUUCGCAAACAUACGACGAUCAAGCCAUAAACUGCUCGUAAACUUCACUUCUUUUAGGUGUACACCUAAGCAACAAAACGUACAAGACAAUAUAGGUGUACACCCAAUAUCCCAAGACGUUGUGGUUGCUCAUACCUAACAGAGCCAAGGCCUUAAGUAUAAGCAUGAUCUACCGACCGCAACUGAUCCAGUUUAGUAAUGCAUCAAUACACAAGUUUUCAUCUG
Long non-coding RNA from Daphnia carinata, 1545 nucleotides. RefSeq lists it as uncharacterized. The record is from RefSeq and is a predicted model, not a curated record. Lineage: Eukaryota; Metazoa; Arthropoda; Branchiopoda; Diplostraca; Daphniidae. The transcript is spliced from 6 exons.